RNAcentral lists this ribosomal RNA (436 nucleotides) under Dailognatha quadricollis. RNAcentral describes it as "partial 16S ribosomal RNA". Lineage: Eukaryota; Metazoa; Arthropoda; Insecta; Coleoptera; Tenebrionidae. The record is from RNAcentral.
GUCCUUUAGUUUAUGAUUUAAGGUCUGACCUGCCCAAUGAUUAUUUUGAAUGGCCGCAGUAUUUUGACUGUGCAAAGGUAGCAUAAUCAUUAGUUUUUUAAUUGAAAGCUGGAAUGAAUGGUUUGAUGAAAAAAUAACUGUCUCAAUAAAAUUUAUUUAGAAUUUUAAUUUUAAGUGAAAAAGCUUAAAUGUUUUAUGAAGACGAGAAGACCCUAUAGAGUUUAAUAUUAUUUUUACUAAUUGCUUUAGGUUUUAUUUUAUAUAUUAGUAUAUAUAGUAUUUUGUUGGGGUGACAGAAAAAUUUGAUGAACUUUUUAUGGUUUUUAACAUUAAUUUAUGAAUAUAUGAUCCUGAUUUUUGGAUUAAAAGACUAAAUUACCUUAGGGAUAACAGCGUAAUUUCUUUGGAGAGUUCUUAUCGAUAUAGAAGUUUGCGA